RNAcentral lists this ribosomal RNA (214 nucleotides) under uncultured bacterium. RNAcentral's name for it is "partial 16S ribosomal RNA". It matches the Rfam family "Bacterial small subunit ribosomal RNA", at positions 524 to 738 of the family's 1533-position model. The record is from RNAcentral.
UACGAAGGGGGCUAGCGUUGCUCGGAAUGACUGGGCGUAAAGGGCGCGUAGGCGGAUGGCUUUGUCGGGCGUGAAAUUCCAGGGCUCAACCUUGGGGCUGCGUUCGAGACGGGCGAUCUUGAGUUCGGAAGAGGGUCGUGGAAUUCCCAGUGUAGAGGUGAAAUUCGUAGAUAUUGGGAGAACACCGGUGGCGAAGGCGGCGAUCUGGGCCGGA